GAUGAACGCUAGCUACAGGCUUAACACAUGCAAGUCGAGGGGCAGCAUGAACUUAGCUUGCUAAGUUUGAUGGCGACCGGCGCACGGGUGAGUAACACGUAUCCAACCUUCCGUUUACUCAGGGAUAGCCUUUCGAAAGAAAGAUUAAUACCUGAUAGUAUGGUGAGAUUGCAUGAUAGCACCAUUAAAGAUUUAUUGGUAAACGAUGGGGAUGCGUUCCAUUAGGUAGUAGGCGGGGUAACGGCCCACCUAGCCGACGAUGGAUAGGGGUUCUGAGAGGAAGGUCCCCCACAUUGGAACUGAGACACGGUCCAAACUCCUACGGGAGGCAGCAGUGAGGAAUAUUGGUCAAAUGGACGAGAGUCUGAACCAGCCAAGUAGCGUGCAGGAUGACUGCCCUAUGGGUUGUAAACUUCUUUAUAUGGGAAUAAAGUGGUCCACGUGUGGAUUUUUGUAUGUACCAUAUGAAUAAGGAUCGGCUAACUCCGUGCCAGCAG
Molecule: ribosomal RNA, 497 nt
Filed under: uncultured bacterium
Lineage: Bacteria
Description: bacterial SSU rRNA
Rfam family: Bacterial small subunit ribosomal RNA
Source: RNAcentral